AACGAACGCUGGCGGCAGGCCUAACACAUGCAAGUCGAGCGCCCCGCAAGGGGCGCGGCGGACGGGUGAGUAACGCGUGGGCAUAUGCCCUUUGCUACGGGAUAGUCUCGGGAAACUGGGGGUAAUACCGUAUACGCCCUUCGGGGGAAAGAUUUAUCGGCGAAGGAUGAGCCCGCGUUGGAUUAGGUAGUUGGUGGGGUAAUGGCCUACCAAGCCGACGAUCCAUAGCUGGUUUGAGAGGAUGAUCAGCCACACUGGGACUGAGACACGGCCCAGACUCCUACGGGAGGCAGCAGUGGGGAAUAUUAGACAAUGGGGGCAAGCCUGAUCUAGCCAUGCCGCGUGAGUGAAGAAGGUCUUAGGGUUGUAAAGCCCUUUCAGCUGGGAAGAUAAUGACGGUACCAGCAGAAGAAGCCCCGGCUAACUCCGUG
This 431-nucleotide ribosomal RNA is filed under the name uncultured bacterium. Its description in RNAcentral is "partial 16S ribosomal RNA". It matches the Rfam family "Bacterial small subunit ribosomal RNA", at positions 29 to 507 of the family's 1533-position model. The record is from RNAcentral.